This 1335-nucleotide long non-coding RNA is filed under the name Gossypium barbadense (sea-island cotton). Its description in RNAcentral is "long non-coding RNA (GBAR_LNC003524)". The record is from RNAcentral. Lineage: Eukaryota; Viridiplantae; Streptophyta; Magnoliopsida; Malvales; Malvaceae.
AUUUUAAAUCAGGUUUAUAUUUAUUUAUAAUUUGGCCCUGAACUUUGUCGCGCUUUUCAAUUUAGUCCCUGGCCAAGCUCAACGUUUUAAAGGCUUGGGAAAAUUGCUUUUUUGGCCCCCCACUGUUUCACACGUGUUCAAAUUAGCCCUUUUUCUUUUUUUAUUUAUUUUAAAAUCACCCCAAAACUUCGUUUUUGUUUCAAUUUUAGUCCUUUUUUAUAUUUUUAAGUUUAUUUUCAUAUUAUCCUUGCUAUUUUAUUUAUUUUUAAUAUUAUUAUAUUAUUCUCAUGAUUAUCAUUUUUAUUGUGGUUAUUUUUAUUCCUUUUAUAAUUUAUUAUUAUAUUAUUACUAUAGUUACUAUUACUAUUUCUAAUAUAUAUUACGUACAUAGUUUCCUAUAUUAUAAUAUAUUUAUAUAAUAUUAUUAAUAAGUUGUUUUUUAACAUUAUUAGUGUAAAUAGGCCAAUUUACCCGGGCCCACUAGAAACCCAAAUAUAUAAUAAAUAAAUAAAUAUGUAUAUUAAAAACCCAACAAAUAUUAUAACAGUCCAUUAAUGUCCUAUCAAGCCCAAAGACCCAAAACAGUCCUUCUAGCCCAAAUCUAGUGGCCCAAUACUUAAAAUGAACCUAAGUGGCCCAAAAGACUUCAGCAACCCUAGGUCAUCCCUCCCUCAUUUGCGCCGCAACCCUCUGCAGCCUCCAGCAACCACGCCAAGUCUCCGUACGCCAGCAUGGCUCCCGUACACACGCCAGCACGCACCCGUACCUGCAAGAAGACAAACAAACACAACAGCAAAUGAAAAUAAAAGAAAAUAUUGUAUUUUUUAUCGAUUUGAUUUUCCUUUUUUUUCUUCUUCGGCUAUAAAGCCGAAAGUUCCAUCCUUGUAAUCGACACACGCAAAAAGGCAAUACAAGAAAAGAGAAGACCACCUAUAUUCGAAGGUGAUUUUUCGAUUUAUAUUUGCGGGCGUUCCUCUUUUUUUCUUUCGAUUGUUCUUUGUUUUGUUUUUUUUUUCUCGAAAGUAAAUAAAGCGAAGAGGAGGGGACUUACCUUCGCGUAUGAGCCAUCGGAGACCACAUCUCCUUCGCUAAAAAUUGAAAUCGGAGAAGGGAUUUCAGGGGCCGAAAUCGAUAGCCUUUAGGCCAAGGUUCCAAGCGAGUGGCGCACAUGCGGUUCUCCCCCGUUCGCAGUGGUGGCGGUUGGACUGCACGGAUCCUUGGAUUCCGCCGAGUGGAGAAGGGGGCGUAUGGCUUCCUUUUGCUUUUGGUUCUAAAAGAACCAAGAAUCUUAGUCUUAGGGUUUUCUUUUUAGUUUUAAGGACAGACACAAAACGG